This 434-nucleotide ribosomal RNA is filed under the name uncultured Sphingobacteriales bacterium. RNAcentral's name for it is "bacterial SSU rRNA". It matches the Rfam family "Bacterial small subunit ribosomal RNA", at positions 945 to 1382 of the family's 1533-position model. The record is from RNAcentral. Lineage: Bacteria; Pseudomonadati; Bacteroidota; Sphingobacteriia; Sphingobacteriales.
UUUAAUUCGAUGAUACGCGAGGAAUCUUACUGGCUUAAAUGUAGAGUGCAUUUUUUAGAGAUAGAAAUUCCCUUCGGGGCUUUCUGCAAGGUGCUGCAUGGUUGUCGUCAGCUCGUGCCGUGAGGUGUCGGGUUAAGUCCCAUAACGAGCGCAACCCUUAUCGUUAGUUGCCAGCUGGUAAAGCAGGGGACUCUAGCGAAACUGCCACCGUAAGGUGAGAGGAAGGUGGGAUGACGUCAAAUCAGCACGGCCCUUAUGUCCAGGGCUACACACGUGUUACAAUGGCCGGCACAGAGGGCAGCUACCUGGUGACAGGAUGCUAAUCUCGAAAACCGGUCUCAGUUCGGAUCGAAGUCUGCAACUCGACUUCGUGAAGCUGGAUUCGCUAGUAAUCGCGCAUCAGCCAUGGCGCGGUGAAUACGUUCCCGGGCCUU